UAACCGAAGUGAGGGCCUCGUGGUCCGACCUCCACCCAUUGUUGUCCGACUCUGUUGCCUCGGGGGCGACCCGGCGCUUCGGCGCCAGGGGGUCCCCGCUGGUCCACACAACUCUGCAUCUUUGCGUCUGAGUAAACAUUAAAUGAAACAAAACUUUCAACAACGGAUCUCUUGGUUCUGGCAUCGAUGAAGAACGCAGCGAAAUGCGAUAAGUAAUGUGAAUUGCAGAAUUCAGUGAAUCAUCGAAUCUUUGAACGCACAUUGCGCCCCCUGGCAUUCCGGGGGGCAUGCCUGUUCGAGCGUCAUUACACCACUCAAGCCUGGCUUGGUAUUGGAGGUCGCGGUCCGCCGCGCCUCCUAAUGUCGCCGGCCGAGUCGUCUGUCUCCGAGCGUUGUGAAUCUUCAAUUCGCUUUCGAGUACAGGCGGCGCGCGCCGUUAAACCUCUUUUUCAGGUUGACCUCGGAUCAGGUAGGGAUACCCGCUGAACUUAAGCAUAUCAAUAAGGCGGAGGAAACUAGGAGGCAAGAG
This 529-nucleotide ribosomal RNA is filed under the name Pseudocercosporella fraxini. Its description in RNAcentral is "eukaryotic LSU rRNA". The stretch from base 152 to 305 matches the Rfam family "5.8S ribosomal RNA". Lineage: Eukaryota; Fungi; Ascomycota; Dothideomycetes; Mycosphaerellales; Mycosphaerellaceae. The record is from RNAcentral.